CAAAGUGUAGCUUAAAACAAAGCAUCUGGCUUACACCUAGAAGACUUCAACGUAACUGAACACUUUGA
This 68-nucleotide transfer RNA is filed under the name Neoromicia somalicus (Somali serotine). Its description in RNAcentral is "tRNA-Val". It matches the Rfam family "tRNA". Rfam says of the family: Transfer RNA (tRNA) molecules are approximately 80 nucleotides in length. The record is from RNAcentral. Lineage: Eukaryota; Metazoa; Chordata; Mammalia; Chiroptera; Vespertilionidae.